UAGCCAGCUAAUCCAGGUUAAAGACCAGAUCUGAGGCAGUCUCUAUUAGACCAGGGCAGCAUAUCGCCAGUCCAGCAGCAUUUCCAGGCAGCUGAAGCACGCAUUUAUUAGCCUUGCAAGUUAUAGAUUUUUUUUUUUGGUCUGCAGAUCCCAAGCUAGUAGAGGGGAAAGGAGAAAGCAACUCUCAGCAUUGUAUCAGUGGUUGGCCAAGACUGAAUAAGAAGUUAGCAGACCAUAAGAAAAAUUUACCUGUCAUCAAAUCUAUUUGCAACCAUCUCCUCUGGCAAGAAAAAACACAAAAUGCAAGAAUGCAACCAGAAAUUAAAGCCUCUAUUUGUAUGGGAUCUUCUUGAGGACAGAAUGGCAAAACUGAAUCCUUUAAGACCAUAAGUUGAAGGCAUGAAGAGUAAGAAGUCAGGUUCAGCUUCCAGGUCUCUGGGAGGCAAACACAUCCUUGUUCUUCAAGAACCAGGUCAAAGAUUGCCUACUCUGUGAAAACUUCUCUGAUAAGACGAGGCUAACCCAGUUACGGGUAUUUUCAGAAUUCUCACGACUGUUUAUUUAGUGAAAUGUUUACCCCAGAGAAUUGCAUGUUAUGUUUCUGGAUUUCAACAAAACAGUUCAUAAUAGACUGAAAUGUGUAGAGAGGAAGCAAAUGUCUUUUUUGUUUUGGACAUUUGCUAGAUGAAGCAAUGAAUGAAUGAAUGAAUGAGUAUCACAGGCUUGCUUGGGUUUCAGUAAAUUCAUACAAUUGAUAUGUGUACUUUGUGUUAAAAUUGUUGAAACUCAUACUAAAGGCGGGCGGUAAAAGAACAUUAAUUAAACUGCUUGCUAAAUAACUGGAGGCAAAGAGUAGUAACAAGAAGGGGGCACCAAUUUCUUAAUAAUGGAAUGUUUAAAACACACUAUAAGAAGAAGAAAGUAUAUAUUACUGCAUCAACAUCAUAGCAAAAUAGAUAUUGGGCAGAAACACAUUGCAUAUUGCCCAUUUUUCUCUUUGAAUAAAUCAAAGGGAUCUAAUCUAAUUACAAAAAAGGAGAUAUAAAUGAUAACUGACAAAACCCUGCCUGAAAGGAAUCUUACAUAUCAGGCAAAACACUGUAUUGGGAUUCAGAUGGUUAUAUAAAUAGAAAAUAAAGUGAAAUCACUUUAUUUCAAGUCCUUCACUGCAAGUCCUUCACAGGGAGCAAUCAUUAUCUCUACUACCUACAUAACCACCAAUUUAACUUCUCUGAAACCCUUGUCCCAACAGGGAAAUCUAACUUCUUCUGGUCAAUCAUGUCCCCUGAUCCACCACCAAAAUAUAAGCUUCAUGAAACCAGAGACAAUAUUUUGCUUAUAAUAAUAUCCCUAGCACUUAAAAUAGUGCCUUGUUUACAGCAGAGGUUGAAGAAGCAUUUACUGAAUUCAAUACAUGAAUGGGUGAGAGAAAGGGAUAAAAGAGAAGAAAGGAAAGAAGAAUCAGAUGAGAAAGCAAGGGACUACUAAUACAGAACUGAGAAAGAAUUUUCUUCUCUGGAAAAGUCUGUACAAGCUGCAGAGUGCUGUGGCAAGUUAAACCCAAUGUUUCCUAGGAUUUUGGUGUUUAUGAAGAAAAAAACAAAACAAAGGGUUUCUCUUUACUGACCCAGAGCAAAUAUUGAAUUUUAAAGUAAAAACUGUAAAAACUUCAGUACAUGUAUGUUCACUCAUUCAAUAAAUGUUUAUAUGCCCACUAGGUUCCACGCACCAACGCUACACACUGGUAAAUGCAGCAGAUAAUGGAGCUAGACAUAUAAAAAGAUUUGGACAUCUUCACCAUCAACAAAAUCACUGAGCAUCCCACUCUGCUUCCUGAUAAAAACUGGUAGUUACUAGCAAGCAAGUCAUGCCUGCAUUCAGACAUGAAAUUCCAUUCUUAUUGGUAUUAUUCAAAUAAAAGAAUUUUUAAAAGAUGACAAAAGCAUAAAAGAAAUGAAAAAAAAAAAAGAUACAAUUAAGAAAGGUAAGAACAACUGAAGUUGUCUGGCCUGGAGAACAAGGCUGAUUUCA
Molecule: long non-coding RNA, 2031 nt
Organism: Callithrix jacchus (white-tufted-ear marmoset)
Lineage: Eukaryota; Metazoa; Chordata; Mammalia; Primates; Cebidae
Source: RefSeq, a predicted model, not a curated record